RNAcentral lists this microRNA precursor (202 nucleotides) under Oryza sativa Japonica Group (Japanese rice). RNAcentral's name for it is "MIR812 microRNA precursor family". It matches the Rfam family "MIR812 microRNA precursor family". The record is from Rfam by way of RNAcentral. Lineage: Eukaryota; Viridiplantae; Streptophyta; Magnoliopsida; Poales; Poaceae.
CAUUAGCUAUUAUCAAAGUUUUCGUGCUCAACUUUGAUCGUCCGUCUUAUUUAUAAUUUUUUUAAAUUAGUAUUUUUCUUGUUAUGAGAUGAUAAAAUAUGAAUAGUAAUUUACUUAUGACUUAUGUUUUUAUUUUUUUAAAAAAAAAUUAAAUAAGACAGACGAUCAAAGUUGGACGCGGAAAACUAUGACUGUACUUAAA